RNAcentral lists this long non-coding RNA (482 nucleotides) under Brachypodium distachyon (stiff brome). RNAcentral's name for it is "long non-coding RNA (BDIS_LNC002822)". Lineage: Eukaryota; Viridiplantae; Streptophyta; Magnoliopsida; Poales; Poaceae. The record is from RNAcentral.
CGUGAAAAAAAAAAUUCGUCAAAAAACACAAAGACACAAAAAUUUACUACUGGUAAAAAUCAAAGGCAAGGAUCAAAAGGUGAGCUCAGAGGGUUGCUUGAUCUGCUCAUGGAAGGGACAAGUCCCUUCUCAUACAAGAGGUGUCAGAAGUAAGCAAUGCUCAUCACGGCCAGCCCCUUCUAACAUAACAAAAACAGUGAUCCAAAUGCAUAAACUAAACCAAAAUAGUGCGUGAUCGGUGCUCAGAUAACAGUUGCUGUGAUCUGCUCAGCGAAGCGCUUUUUGAGGCGCUUCUCGUACAAGAGGUGUCAGAAGUAAGCAAUCAUCACGGCACAAACAACACAGAGGGAGAGGAAAAAAUGGCAGCGAGAGAAGGCGAAAACAGAUAAACCUCGUAAGAAGAAACGAACAGCAGAUGGCGCCGCCGUGCCAUGAACGGCAUGGGGAGGCGGCGGCGGCGAAACCCUAGCGAUGAGAUUUCU